UAUACUUUUAGUAAUCCAUCUGGUGACUCUAACUCUGUGUCGGUUUGUGACUUCACAUUUGAUGGUAAAGGUACGCUAUUUAAUCAAUUCUAAUAUGUUGUUUUUGGAAUCGAUAUUAUUUUUAUAAAUCUUUGCAAUAUCUAAAUUUCAACUACGAUGCACGUGGAACUUAUGGAGUUUGAUCUCAUACAAGGCAAUAAUGAUUUGCUUUUAUUUUGGGAGUUGGAUCAUCGUUCUCUGCACUGGUUGGUGAUUAUGACAUAGCAAAGAAGGAAGACAACAUUGGGUUGAGAACGAUAGGAAACAUCCUGGUUGUGAUGAACAAAGAUCAGCAGUCUCUGAAUACUUCCGUGUUUAUAAAGGGAAAUGAGAACAGUGCCAAAAAUGUCGAUCUGAUGGGUCAUUCUCAUCAACCGUUUCUCGCGAGAUCAUGUGUGGACUUUUUAAAGAAUUUCUUUGAGGAUGAGUUACAUGCAACUCAAAGUAUAUUCUCAAGCAAAGAAAAAUAUGAGAAGAUACUUGGCAUGAUAACAGAUGAAGAGCUGAGAGGGGAGUGGGAGAAUUCUGCGAGAUCAUCUCCAUCAUAAGAAGCCACCAGCCUUUUAAGGUGGGAGCAGCUUAAAACGCUUCAAUCAAAGAACAACAAGGCUCUAUCACUGCGGACAUGCGUAGAAGAAAUUGUCUUCAACUUUAUAUAUCCUCGAAUUGAUUUGGAGAUUAGUUCUACUCUAUGCUACAAUUCCUUUUCUUAAACCCACGGUGCUAUUAUGGUCUCCAAAAAAAUGAACCAUUUGCUUAAGGCACCCUUCUGUGUCCAUCCAAACACAGGUCGUGUCUGUGUUCCUAUUGAUCCGAAUAACUGCGAUGAGUUUGAUCCAUUAUUGGAAGUUCCAACACUU
Long non-coding RNA from Arabidopsis lyrata subsp. lyrata, 899 nucleotides. RefSeq lists it as uncharacterized. NCBI's taxonomy places the organism in Eukaryota, Viridiplantae, Streptophyta, Magnoliopsida, Brassicales, Brassicaceae. The transcript is spliced from 9 exons. The record is from RefSeq and is a predicted model, not a curated record.